GAUGAAGAACGUAGCGAAAUGCGAUAAGUAAUGCGAAUUGCAGAAUUCAGUGAGUCAUCGAAUCUUUGAACGCACAUUGCGCCCUGUGGUAUUCCGCAGGGCAUGCCUGUUCGAGCGUCAUUUCAACCCUCAAGCCUCGCUUGGUGUUGGGCCCUGCCCGCCGCGGCCGGCCCUAAAGAUAGUGGCGGCGCCGCCUGGCCCUCAGCGUAGUACAGCUCUCGCUCCAGGGUCCGGCGGCAGCCUGCCAGAACCCCCCAACUCUGUGGUUGACCUCGGAUCAGGUAGGGAUAUCCGCUGAACUUAAGCAUAUCAAUAAGCGGAGGA
This 324-nucleotide unclassified non-coding RNA is filed under the name soil metagenome. RNAcentral describes it as "partial contains 5.8S ribosomal RNA, internal transcribed spacer 2, and large subunit ribosomal RNA". The stretch from base 1 to 120 matches the Rfam family "5.8S ribosomal RNA", at positions 35 to 154 of the family's 154-position model. The record is from RNAcentral.